UGAGCAACCUACCUUAGUUACUGGGAUAGCCCGAGGAAACUCGGAUUAAUACCGGAUAUUCUUAUUUAAUCACAUGAUUUUUUAAGGAAAGGUCAGCCGAACUAAGAUGGGCUCGCGUUCUAUCAGCUAGUUGGUAGGGUAAUGGCCUACCAAGGCUACGACGGAUAGCUGGUCUGAGAGGACGAUCAGCCACACUGGGACUGAGACACGGCCCAGACUCCUACGGGAGGCUGCAGCAGGGAAUAUUGCGCAAUGAGCGAAAGCUUGACGCAGCGACACCGCGUGUGGGAUGACGGAUCUAGGUUUGUAAACCACUUUCAGGAGGGAAGAAAAUGACGGUACCUCCACAAGAAGCCCCGGCCAACUACGUGCCAGCAGCCGCGGUAAUACGUAGGGGGCGAGCGUUGUCCGGAUUUAUUGGGCGUAAAGAGCUCGUAGGCGGUUCAACAAGUCGGUCGUGAAAGUUCAGGGCUCAACCCUGAAAUGUCGAUCGAUACUGUUGUGACUAGGAUACGGUAGAGGUGAGUGGAAUUCCGAGUGUAGCGGUGAAAUGCGUAGAUAUUCGGAGGAACACCAAUUGCGAAGGCAGCUCACUGGGCCGCUAUCGACGCUGAGGAGCGAAAGCUAGGGGAGCAAACAGGAUUAGAUACCCUGGUAGUCCUAGCUGUAAACGAUGGAUACUAGACGUAGGA
This 692-nucleotide ribosomal RNA is filed under the name uncultured bacterium. Its description in RNAcentral is "bacterial SSU rRNA". It matches the Rfam family "Bacterial small subunit ribosomal RNA", at positions 118 to 827 of the family's 1533-position model. The record is from RNAcentral.